UACGUAGGGUGCGAGCGUUAAUCGGAAUUACUGGGCGUGAAGCGUGCGCAGGCGGUGAUGUAAGACAGAUGUGAAAUCCCCGGGCUCAACCUGGGAACUGCAUUUGUGACUGCAUCGCUGGAGUGCGGCAGAGGGGGAUGGAAUUCCGCGUGUAGCAGUGAAAUGCGUAGAUAUGCGGAGGAACACCCGUGGCUAAGGCGGCUCUCUAGUACGGUACUGACGCUGAGACACGAAAGCGUGGGGAGCGAACAGG
This 253-nucleotide ribosomal RNA is filed under the name uncultured bacterium. RNAcentral describes it as "partial 16S ribosomal RNA". It matches the Rfam family "Bacterial small subunit ribosomal RNA", at positions 524 to 776 of the family's 1533-position model. The record is from RNAcentral.